RNAcentral lists this ribosomal RNA (462 nucleotides) under uncultured bacterium. Its description in RNAcentral is "partial 16S ribosomal RNA". It matches the Rfam family "Bacterial small subunit ribosomal RNA", at positions 28 to 507 of the family's 1533-position model. The record is from RNAcentral.
GACGAACGCUGGCGGCGUGCUUAACACAUGCAAGUCGAACGGCGAAGCCCUUCGGGGUGGAUCAGUGGCGAACGGGGGAGUAACACGUGAGCAACCUGCCCCUGGCCCUGGGAUAACCACUGGAUACGGUGGCUAAUACUGCACACGACCCGCCUCGGCCCUACGUGUGGGUGGAAAGUUUUUCGGCUGGGGGUGGGCUUGCGGCCUAUGAGCUCGUUUGUGGUGGUAAGGCUGACGAAGGCGCAGCCGGGUAGCCGGCCUGAGAAGGUGACCGGCCACAAUGGGACUGAGACAGGGACCAGACUGCUACGGGAGGCAGCAGUGGGGAAUAUUGCACAGUGGGCGAAAGCCUGAUGCAGCGGCGCCGCGUGAGGGAUGCCGGCCUUCGGGUUGUGAACCGCUUUCAGCUAAGAAGAAGCGAAAGUGACGGUAGGAGAAGAAGAAGCACCGGCUAACUACGUG